This 654-nucleotide ribosomal RNA is filed under the name Triticum aestivum (bread wheat). RNAcentral describes it as "partial small subunit ribosomal RNA". The record is from RNAcentral. Lineage: Eukaryota; Viridiplantae; Streptophyta; Magnoliopsida; Poales; Poaceae.
AUGGCCACCAACUCCACCUCUGCAGCUAGCCAUGCCAAGUGCCUGCCGAAGACCUCGUCGAGAUGCAUCACCCCUACCUUCACCUCAACGCAUGAUUUCGAGAUCACCAUUUACCCGCUGCUCGAAGGCAUCGGCGUCGAAAAGCUCGUCAGCUCGACCGUCUUCACCGUCGGUGGCUUCAAGUGGACAAUAAGCUUCUUCCCGGACGGCGUGAGACAUGGCAGUUUUGGCAACGCUUCGGCGUUCUUGAACUGCCUCAGCCCGGAAAAGGAUGUGAGAGGAAGGUUCACCUUGAACUUGCUGGGCAAAAGUGGAGCACAGGUUACGAAGUUUGACGAGAUAGAGUAUACCUUUACGGCCGAAUGCAUUUAUCGGGGCUAUCCUCAGUUCGUGGACAGAUCGAGGCUGAGAUCAGUAUCGCUUGAAAACAAUGGGAGUGUCACUAUCCGCUGCGUUCUCACCGUGAUCGGAGAACCCUAUACUGAGGGGAAACGUGCCAUUCUGCCGCCGCCUCCGCUGCCGAUUCUGUGUGAGAGCAAGAAAUUUGUUAUCCGCAACUUGGCGGCACCCCUGAAGAAAUCCAAGCAUGCCAAGAUUGGACUUGGAGGCGAAGUGGAUGCUGUGCUCACAGAUUAUCUGUCCGGCUCUGCUUGA